UGCGGGGUAGCGUAAUUGGCAACGCACCUGACUCUGGAUCAGGGGACUCUAGGUUCGAGCCCUAGCCCCGCAGCCA
Molecule: transfer RNA, 76 nt
Filed under: Armatimonadota bacterium
Lineage: Bacteria; Bacillati; Armatimonadota
Also listed under: 1 other name
Description: Armatimonadetes bacterium (marine sediment metagenome) tRNA-Gln
Rfam family: tRNA
About the family: Transfer RNA (tRNA) molecules are approximately 80 nucleotides in length. Their secondary structure includes four short double-helical elements and three loops (D, anti-codon, and T loops).
Source: RNAcentral